CCUACGGGAGGCAGCAGUGGGGAAUUUUUGGACAAUGGGCGAAAGCCUGAUCCAGCAAUGCCGCGUGUGUGAAGAAGGCCUUCGGGUUGUAAAGCACUUUUGUCCGGAAAGAAAACCUCCGCCCUAAUAUGGUGGGGGGAUGACGGUACCGGAAGAAUAAGCACCGGCUAACUACGUGCCAGCAGCCGCGGUAAUACGUAGGGUGCAAGCGUUAAUCGGAAUUACUGGGCGUAAAGCGUGCGCAGGCGGUCCGCUAAGACAGAUGUGAAAUCCCCGGGCUUAACCUGGGAACUGCAUUUGUGACUGGCGGGCUAGAGUAUGGCAGAGGGGGGUAGAAUUCCACGUGUAGCAGUGAAAUGCGUAGAGAUGUGGAGGAAUACCGAUGGCGAAGGCAGCCCCCUGGGCCAAUACUGACGCUCAUGCACGAAAGCGUGGGGAGCAAACAGGAUUAGAUACCCUGGUAGUCCACGCCCUAAACGAUGUCAACUAGUUGUUGGGGAUUCAUUUCCUUAGUAACGUAGCUCACGCGGAAGUGACCGCCGGGGAGUACGUCGUAAGA
Molecule: ribosomal RNA, 559 nt
Filed under: rhizosphere bacterium Ptrs9
Lineage: Bacteria
Description: bacterial SSU rRNA
Rfam family: Bacterial small subunit ribosomal RNA
Source: RNAcentral